Vidua chalybeata is the source of this 528-nucleotide long non-coding RNA. RefSeq lists it as uncharacterized. The record is from RefSeq and is a predicted model, not a curated record. The transcript has 2 exons. Lineage: Eukaryota; Metazoa; Chordata; Aves; Passeriformes; Viduidae.
CUGGCUAGGGUUAAUGGCAGGCAUGCUUCUUUUGGAGCUUGUCUUCAUGUUGUGCUGCUUUAGAAUCUGGUAUUCCUGGAAGAGAAAACGUCGCAGCUCUGGACAGGAGAUGAAAGGCGGGGGCUUCCCCUCACACCCAGACUGCUUGUGGAGCACCUCCAGCAGUAAUAAGGGCCUGGUCAGCCCUUUCUGGAGUUCCGCAAAGAGGACAUCAGUAGAUCUCUCUAAAAAGGAAAUCUCCAAAGACCCUGUAGAUCCCACUGCCACUUCCUCUCCCCAUGGGUAUCCCCAAGCUGCCUUCACCCAUUUUUGAUCUCCCUCUGUCCCGUCCCAGCCCAUUCCCCAGUUCUUCUAAAGACCCCGGUACCAGCCCAGCACCCUCCAGCCCCAACUGAGACCAACAUGGUCCCUCCUCUGCCCCUAAGCUCCCUGGCCCUGCCCCCUAAAUGCUAUUGAAGGUAACCCCCCGCCCCUGCCAGGGUAGGUGAUGGCCCCCACUUCGGUUGCAAUAAAGAGAUGGAGCUGUCA